GCACGCCCUGGCACGCGCGUGCGCAUACACGUCAACGAGUACGAACUAAAAGAGACGCAGCCGCACCCCGCCCACAAGCACCUUAGCGCACUGUGCGCUCCUCACUCAACGCUCGUGCACUGUGCAACCAUGGCACAGCCGUCCGGUGAAGAGGCGAUCACUAGCAAGAGCUUCUCGGGCACGGCCAAGGGAGCCACGCCACACGAGACCAUCUCCAUCGCGUUUACGCACUCGCAGUACGCCACGCCGUGCCAUGAUCACACGGUCCCCGGUAGCACGCCAGGUCACCGUCUGCGUCGACUGGGGCGGCGGCAUCAGCCAGCCGACAUCCUGCACAACCACCUGAACCACGCGCUGGUGGCGCACAGCGGCGUCGUCACGACGGCAAAGAGUGGCGGCGGCUACUAUCACCACCACUGCAGUGAUCCCUGGGAGGGCACCGCCGAUCACCCGGCCCCGCCAGGCGGCAACUGUGUGCUGCACACAAAGAACGGUGGCAAGCGGCACUUUGACGAGCCCACGGGCCUCUUCAGCGAGCCGGUGUGGCAUCCGUCGAGGCGCGUGAUUCUGCCGCCGCAGGUGCACGCGCGGCCGCCAGCGACGCAGCGGCGCGGGCGCGGUGUGUACAACACCACCGACGGCUGGAUCCACCCAGACGCCGAGGCGGCGCAGGUUCGGCGCGAGGAGGAGGCAGUGCGGCAGCACUCACGCGGUGGCAAGGCGCAGGUGGCAAGGCCACCUGAUCACACGCUGGAGGAGCUGAGCAUGUGGGUCAGGACGGGAAAAGGUAGUGGCGUCGGUGCUGCCGGGCCGUCUUCCGAAGCGCAAGAGGCAGCUCCCGCAGCGUCCACGGCGGCAGCUAACGGCCGCGAAAGAAAGCGGCACCUGCUGCCCCACCACAAGACGAACACGUCCAUGGUUUCAGCGGUAGCACCGCUCACAGGGCCGCCCCCGCCGAAAGUCCUCGCCGACUACAAUGACAGCCAGGUGCUGCCCGCCAUCGGUCAGGGGGUGGCGAUGCAACGCUGCACGGUGGCGGAGGCAGACGCCUUAGCACAGCGCCAACGCGAGAAGCGCGUGCAGCACUUGCUGCAGACCAUGAGGGCGGCGGCUGCCGAGUCAGAGACGCGAGCAGCAGACAUUCAAGCGGUGCGAGAGUUGCCGAGCUGGUAGCACAGAACCAAAGGGCAAGAAGCCGCGAGUGUGGGGGCACCCCUCUCAGCUGCUCACAAGGAGCUGCAUUUUCGGCAAUGAGCAAGAACGCCGGCGUUUGUUCACACCGCAUCCCGCCGUCAACCGCGCUCCCCGGCUUUGCCCCCCCCCCGCUGCCCUGCUGCGUGGUUGCCUACCGAUGUCGGUCUUUUUAGCGGCCGCGCCGCUUCAGCUCACCUCCUCGUCUCACGAGCCCGCACGUGAACUCUCUUGGUUUGUGUGUUUUGUCAUUCUUUCUUGGCCACCCUUCGUGGCUGGUGGUCUCUUUCCCUCCCACCCUCCCUCUCUUACGGGUCUGUGCGGUGUGAGGGAGGGGAUGCUUGUCCUCGUACCGUUGUGCUUCCCCCUGACUCGCAGAGGCACGCAUGCACAACCGCGCGUGCGCACUGGCAGAGAACCAGAGACGCUCGAACAUUCCCGCGCGCUUGCCUUUUCAUUGUCGCCGUUUUCGUUUCGUGUCCCCGUCGAUCACGCGAUGCAUGUACACUUGGUCGGCGCUGAUGUACCGCCCGCAGCCCAAAGUGCGGUGCCGCAG
This 1747-nucleotide unclassified non-coding RNA is filed under the name Leishmania donovani. Its description in RNAcentral is "gene:LdHU3.13.0950(CDS-product:hypothetical_prote in_conserved)". Lineage: Eukaryota; Euglenozoa; Kinetoplastea; Trypanosomatida; Trypanosomatidae. The record is from RNAcentral.